Molecule: long non-coding RNA, 515 nt
Organism: Cephus cinctus (wheat stem sawfly)
Lineage: Eukaryota; Metazoa; Arthropoda; Insecta; Hymenoptera; Cephidae
Exons: 3
Source: RefSeq, a predicted model, not a curated record
AAGCACGAUGGCGUAGGGUAUGCAGACCUUGCACACCCCUAACGACCUAAGGACGAUAUUCGUGAAGACGAGGCACAGCACCGAGUCCAGAAAGGCGAAGUCUACGUUUACAACACAAAAGCGCUUAAAGGGCUUCCUAAAGCUCGUAACCAAUGAUGGAGGACACACUGCUGAAAGAAGGGGUGCUUUGAGGUUGUCGGAAUAAGCUUUGCAUUUUACCACCAGUCAAGUAACCAGGACGAGCAGUAGUAAGAGCCAGUUACAGACAGCCUCAAGGGUGAAGCUGGAAGUGGAAGGAGCAGAAGAGAAGGAAGGAGGGCAGGAAGAUUCAAUUUAAGCGCUGACGUCAUCAGCUCGGCAAGAAGUGGAGCGAGCGGAAACGUCCGUAACCGGAAGUAAAAAGAAUUUGGCGAAAGAAUCGCAGCAACUCAGCCUACAGUAAAUCAGCAGGAAGAUCCCGACGAGAGAUUAGGAUGAGAUACAAUUAAAUUUCCACGAGCUCGUCAGGAGCAAUU